Molecule: non-coding RNA, 339 nt
Organism: Neoarius graeffei (lesser salmon catfish)
Lineage: Eukaryota; Metazoa; Chordata; Actinopteri; Siluriformes; Ariidae
Source: the annotation of a RefSeq genome assembly
AUGUUCACUGUUAUAUUCAUGUGUCUGUGGCUUUCACUCGGUGACUCCAUGGCAGAUUCAAUAAAGCCACUUUUCACUCAGACAGUUAUAGAUGAAGGCAGUGAUGUUACUCUGUCCUGCAACUAUCAGUCAACUAGUACUGUAUCACCCACCCUGCAAUGGUACAGACAAUAUCCAAAAUCCAAACCUGAGUUCCUUCUUUAUAUAUCACAAAGUGGAUAUAAAAGUGACUCAAUCCCACCACGUCUCUCUGCUGAAGUUGAUGAAAAGAAUAACCAAGUGGAUCUGCGCAUCUCCUCUGCUGCUGUAUCAGACUCUGCACUAUACUACUGUGCUCUG